Molecule: ribosomal RNA, 326 nt
Filed under: uncultured eukaryote
Lineage: Eukaryota
Description: partial 18S ribosomal RNA
Rfam family: Eukaryotic small subunit ribosomal RNA
Source: RNAcentral
CCCUUAGAUGUUCUGGGCCGCACGCGCGCUACACUGAUGCAUUCAACGAGCCUAGCCUUGACCGAGAGGUCCGGGUAAUCUUUGAAACUGCAUCGUGAUGGGGCUAGAUUAUUGCAAUUAUUAAUCUUCAACGAGGAAUGCCUAGUAAGCGUGAUUCAUCAAAUCGCGUUGAUUACGACCCUGCCCUUUGUACACACCGCCCGUCGCUCCUACCGAUUGAGUGUGUUGGUGAGGAGUUUGGAUUGGCCUCGGAAGGUGGUUCGCCACCGCCCGUAGCUGAGAAGUUCUCCAAACCGCCCCACUUAGAGGAAGGAGAAGUCGUAACA